RNAcentral lists this ribosomal RNA (458 nucleotides) under uncultured bacterium. Its description in RNAcentral is "partial 16S ribosomal RNA". It matches the Rfam family "Bacterial small subunit ribosomal RNA", at positions 338 to 795 of the family's 1533-position model. The record is from RNAcentral.
CCUACGGGAGGCAGCAGUGAGGAAUAUUGGUCAAUGGGCGAGAGCCUGAACCAGCCAAGUCGCGUGAGGGAGUACUGCCCUAUGGGUUGUAAACCUCUUUUGUCGGGGAGCAAAAGCCGGACGUGUCCGGCUGUGAGAGUACCCGAAGAAAAAGCAUCGGCUAACUCCGUGCCAGCAGCCGCGGUAAUACGGAGGAUGCGAGCGUUAUCCGGAUUUAUUGGGGUUAAGGGGUGCGCAGGCGGAUUUUUAAGUCAGCGGUCAAAUCGUGGGGCUCAACCCCAUCCAGCCGUUGAAACUGGGGAUCUAGAGUGUGCGAGAGGUAUGCGGAAUGCGUGGUGUAGCGGUGAAAUGCAUAGAUAUCACGCAGAACCCCGAUUGCGAAGGCAGCAUACCGGUGCACAACUGACGCUCAGGCACGAAAGCGUGGGUAUCGAACAGGAUUAGAUACCCUUGUAGUC